Molecule: ribosomal RNA, 633 nt
Filed under: Novosphingobium lentum
Lineage: Bacteria; Pseudomonadati; Pseudomonadota; Alphaproteobacteria; Sphingomonadales; Sphingomonadaceae
Description: bacterial SSU rRNA
Rfam family: Bacterial small subunit ribosomal RNA
Source: RNAcentral
AACGAAGGCUUCGGCCUUAGUGGCGCACGGGUGCGUAACGCGUGGGAACCUGCCCCUUGGUUCGGAAUAACAGUUAGAAAUGACUGCUAAUACCGGAUGAUGACGAAAGUCCAAAGAUUUAUCGCCGAGGGAUGGGCCCGCGUAGGAUUAGCUAGUUGGUGAGGUAAUGGCUCACCAAGGCGACGAUCCUUAGCUGGUCUGAGAGGAUGAUCAGCCACACUGGGACUGAGACACGGCCCAGACUCCUACGGGAGGCAGCAGUGGGGAAUAUUGGACAAUGGGCGAAAGCCUGAUCCAGCAAUGCCGCGUGAGUGAUGAAGGCCUUCGGGUUGUAAAGCUCUUUUACCAGGGAUGAUAAUGACAGUACCUGGAGAAUAAGCUCCGGCUAACUCCGUGCCAGCAGCCGCGGUAAUACGGAGGGAGCUAGCGUUGUUCGGAAUUACUGGGCGUAAAGCGCACGUAGGCGGCUACUCAAGUCAGAGGUGAAAGCCCGGGGCUCAACCCCGGAACUGCCUUUGAAACUAGGUAGCUAGAAUCUUGGAGAGGUCAGUGGAAUUCCGAGUGUAGAGGUGAAAUUCGUAGAUAUUCGGAAGAACACCAGUGGCGAAGGCGACUGACUGGACAAGUAUGACG